Molecule: non-coding RNA, 197 nt
Filed under: Paracoccus aminovorans
Lineage: Bacteria; Pseudomonadati; Pseudomonadota; Alphaproteobacteria; Rhodobacterales; Paracoccaceae
Source: RNAcentral
CACAGCUUCGGCUGCGCCGGUUCCUGUCCCAUGACAGGUGAAAAGGGAAUGCGACGGGUUAUACCCGAAAGCAGCCGCCCCCGCGACCGUGACCGGAAAGGUCGUCCAAAGCCACUGGCACAUGCCGGGAAGGUGGGACGCCCGUGGGCCUGGCCCGAAUCCGCAAGCCGGGAGACCUGCCGCGCAGAAGGAUUGAC